Callithrix jacchus (white-tufted-ear marmoset) is the source of this 7133-nucleotide non-coding RNA. NCBI's taxonomy places the organism in Eukaryota, Metazoa, Chordata, Mammalia, Primates, Cebidae. The record is from RefSeq and is a predicted model, not a curated record.
AUGCUGGAAAAAGUUGGAAACUGGAAUUUUGAUAUCUAUUUGAUAGACUAAUAAAUGGAAAUAGUCUAGUAAGCUUAACCUUUCAUUUAUUUAGUCUUGAUGGAUUGAGUACUUCCAUUUAGAUAUGAUGAAACUUCGUAUUUUUAGUUAUGAUUCAAGAUUACCACAGUCAAAAGCCUUACCAUAAUGCAGUCCACGCUGCAGAUGAUACUCGGGCCAUGCAUUAUUACUUAAAGGAACCUAAGCUUGCCAAUUCUGUAACUCCUUGGGAUAUCUUGCUAAGCUUAAUUGCAGCUGCCCCUCAUGAUCUGGAUCAUCCAGGUGUUAAUCAACCUUUCCUUAUUAAAAUUAUUACUUGGCAACUUUAUACAAGAAUACCUCAGUACUGGAAAAUCACCACUGGAGAUCUGCAGUGGGCUUAUUGAGAGAAUCAGGCUUAUUCUCACAUCUGCCAUUAGAAAGCAGGCAACAAAUGGAGACAGUUGGAAGGGACUGCAGAGAGAACAGUCCAGCAGUGAGGACACUGAUGCUGCAUUUGAGUCGAACUCACAGUUAUUACCUCAGGAAAAUCGGUUAUCAUAACCCCCAGAACCAGUGGAACGAACUGCCUCCUGGAGGUUUUUAGAAAUGUGAGAUGGGGUCUUAAGGUGAGAAAACUUACUCUUGACCGCCAACGUUUCCAAGUGAGUGAUGCCAGCCAGCAUUAUUUAUUUCCAAGAUUUCCUCUGUUGGAUCAUGUGAACCCACUUAUUAAUUAUAAGACCUGAACAUACAGCAAUAUGAAUUUGGCUUUCAUGUGAAACCUUGAAUAUGCCAAGCCCAGCAGGAGAGAAUCCAAAAGGAGUAACAAAGGAGUUUGGAGGUGUGCCAUGACUUUUUCAAAGCAUCUAAUCUUCAAAACGUGAAACUUGUUCAACAACAGUCUCUUGGAAUUUAACCAGUCUGAUGCAACAGUGUGUAUCUUGUACCUUCCACUAAGUUCUCUCUGAGAAAAUGGAAAUGUGAAGUGCCAAGUCUCUGCUGCCUCUGGCAAGACAGUGUUUACAAAUCAACUCUGAAAUAUUGGUUCUAAAUUGCCCUGGAGCAUGAUUGUGAAGGAACCACUAAAACAAAUUAAAAGAUCAAACUUUAGACUGCAGCUCUUUCCCCCUGGUUUGCCUUUUCUCUUCUUUGGAUGCCACCAAAACCUCCCAUUUGCUAUGGUUUUAUUUUGUGCACUGGAAACUGAGCAUUUGUCAUAGAGUACCACCAAGCUUUCACUCCAGUGCUGUUUAGCAAUGCAAUUUUUUUUUUAAACAAUUAGUUUUUAAUUUGGGGCGGGAGGGGAAGAACACCAAUGUCCUAGCUGUUAAUUAUGACCCUGCAGUGAAGACACUGCAUGUUUUCAUUACUGUACACUUGACCUGCACAUGCAAGAAAAAGCUGGAAUGUUUAUAACACCAUAAUCAGCUCAGGGUAUUUGCCAAUCUGAAAUAAAAGUGGGAUGGGGAAGUGUGUCCAUCAGAUCAAGGGUACUAAAGUCCCUUUCACUGCAGUGAGUGAGAGGUAUGUUGUGUGUGAAUGUAUGGAUGUGUGUUUGCAUGCAUGUUUGUGCAUGUGUGACUGUGCAUGUUAUGUUUCUCCAUGGGGGAAAAGAUUGAAAUGUAAGCUUUUAUUUAUUAUUUUAGAAUGGGACAUAUGAGCAGCCACAGUUGGGGGAGGAAAAGGUCGGUAAGUAAGCCGUAACAGAUUGCUCCAGUUGCCUUAAACUAUGCACAAGGCUAAGUGACCAAACUUCUCGUUUUGAUUUGAAAAAAAGUGCAUUGUUUUCUUGUCCCUCCCUUUGAUGAAACGUUACCCUUUGACCGGCCUUUUGAUGUGAACAGAUGUUUUCUAGGACAAACUAUAAGGACUAAUUUUAAACUUCAAACAAUCCACUUUUGUAAUUUGUUUUAAAUUGUUUUAUGUAUAGUAAGCACAACUGUAAUCUAGUUUUAAGAGAAACCGGUGCUUUCUUUUAGUUCUUUUGUAAUUCCCUUGUUACUGUAAAAGACUGUUUAUUAAUUAUGUUUACAGUUUGUUGCAACAGCCAUUUUCUUGGCGGAAAGCUUGAGUGUAAAGCCAUUUGUGAAGGCCUUUGCCAUACUCAUUUUAAUAUGUGCCUGUUGCUGUUAACUUUUGAUGAAUAAAAACCUAUCUUUUCACAUUUAAAAAAAAUAUAGGAGAAACACUGAAAACAGAUGAUGGAUUUUAGGAAGUAGAAGGCAUAAUCAAUCUCCUCUUCCAUAACUGAAAUAUACAAACAAAAGGAAACCAAACAUGAAAAGAAUGUUAAGAAUCCGGAGAAGGGGCUCAACUCAUAUCACAGAUUUAGAGCUAAGACACAGCUCUUUCUCCACAAAGGAUCACACAUACAGAGGGUGAAACGUGAGUCAUUACAUUCAAAUACCCUACUGAUAUCCCACUUUUGGUAGAAAAGGUGACUGAGGUAAUAAGUGGCACAGAAGAAAGAGAUAAACUUGGCCGGGCGCGGUGGCUCAAGCCUGUAAUCCCAGCACUUUGGGAGGCCGAGGCGGGUGGAUCACGAGGUCAACAGAUCGAGACCAUCCUGGUCAACAUGGUGAAACCCCGUCUCUACUAAAAAUUACAAAAAAUUAGCUGGGCACGGUGGCGCGUGCCUGUAAUCCCAGCUACUCGGGAGGCUGAGGCAGGAGAAUUGCCUGAACCCAGGAGGCGGAGGUUGCGGUGAGCCGAGACUGCGCCAUUGCACUCCAGCCUGGGUAACAAAAGCGAAACUCCGUCUCAAAAAAAAAAGAAAGAAAGAGAUAAACUUCUCAACUAGAGACAUGGAUCCCUGUUUAAAAAAGAAAAACACAUUUCUGCCCUAGCCCGAACGAAGAUUAAUUACAUACCCGUCUAGCCAGAAAGAAAUCAGAAAAAGGUCUGGAAAAUUAUCUCUUAGAUCUAAAUGUCUUAGCUGCAUUAGAAAGAUUUGCUAGAAAAGAAAUCAGGGCCAGCAAUAUUAUUGUGCACAAGAUAAGUCACCAAAGCAGAUGACAGCCACUGUAAAGAAGUACAAAAAUAAAACCUCAAGGGCACAUCCCAUAGAACUAGAUACUUCCCUUACCCUGCAACUGGUAAAGCAGCCACCACUUUGUGAGUUUAAAACAAUCACAGAGAAAAAAUGUCACUUCAGGAGGUUGUAGAGUCCUAGAGUCACCUACUCCCUCUCUGGCUUCCCCAACCUCUGAGGAAUGAGAUUAAUACAAACCACACACAACUACCAGUCAUAUCUUGGAAAGGGGAUUCAAACAGCAAUUUAUAAACAUGUAUAAGGCAGUUAAAGAGAAUUCAACCAGAUUACUAUGGGCAACUAACUGGUUUCCAUAGUGAGCGAGAGUGCCUGGGGAUCCACACUUCCCGCAGGGACCUGUACAAUCCUGGGAUGGGGGAUUCCUCCUGACCCCAGGCAUAUAGAUUGAUACAGACAGCUGCCCAGAGUGUUUCCAGAGGCAACACUCAAGUCCACAAGGGACCGCCAUAGGCCUUGGACCCCAGAACAGCCUGGUGCCAUCUGCCAUACCUCUAAUACAGGCUGCAGUUGUGGUGGUAAGAAUGCUCAACUCCACCCCAAAAGACAAUGCUUGAUGACAGCUUCUAGCACAGUGACCCCACUUCUGUCUAACAACUCUGCAGAUGGGUACAGCCCCAUGUUCUCCUAGGAAGCACCCAGACAGCCGAGUGAGCGACUCCUGCUACCCCUGCUGCUCAUAGCCAGGAGACGCAUCUCUGGCGGGGCUUCCUGUAUAGCAGACCCAUUUUUGCCUGAACAAUUCAGGUGGGCACAGCCCUGUCUUCCCCUGGGAAGCACUCAGAUGGUGGAGCAGGUGACUUCACCCACUCCUGCUCCUCCUAGCUGUGUGGGAUGCACCAGUUGGGGCUCCAAGCAAAGUAGACCCACCUCUGCCUGAAUUCUGUUAGUGGCACAGCUCUGUGUUCCCCUGGGAAGCACCCACAUCAUGAAUAACUAACAAUGAAAUUCUGGCCUUAAACUGGACACUUGACCAACUGGAGCUAAUAAACAUCUACAGAAUACUCCACCCAACAACUACAGAAUAUACAAUCUUCUCAUCCAUACACGGAAUAUAUUAUAAGAUGGACUACAUGCUUGCCCAUAAAGCUCUCAAUAAAUUUGGGGGAAAAAAAGAAAAAAGAAAGAAACCUAUCAAGCAUACUCUUGGACCACAAUGCAAUAAAAACAGAUUUCAAUACCAAGGUAAUCUCUCAAAAUAACAAAAUACAUGGAAAUUAAACCACUUGCUUCUGAAUCACUCUUGGGUAAGCAAUUAAAUUAAGGCAGAAAUUUAAAAAUUAUUUGAAAUUAAUGAAAAUAGAGACACAAAUUACCAAAACCCUUGGGCUACAGCUAAAGUGGUGUUAAGAGGAAAGUUUAUAAGUGGCCUCAUUGAGAGGUUAGAAAGAUCUCAAAAUAACCAUCUAACACUGCACCUAGAGGAACUAGAUAAAAACAAAAAGAAGAAUUCAUCUUCAAAGCUAGUAGAAGAAAAGAAAUAACCAAAAUCAGAGACGAACUGAAUUAAAUUGAGAUCCAAAAGUUCAUGUCAAAAGAUAAAUGAAGAGUUCCUUUUUUGAAAGAACAAGAUUGAUAGCUCACUAGCUAGAUUAGCAAAGAAAAAAAGUAGAAGAUACUAGUAAGCACAAUCAGAAAUAACAAAGAUGACAUUAUAAGAGAGCCCACAAAAAAUACAAAAGAUCCUCAAAGACUAUUAUGAACACCUUCAUGCACACAUAUAAGAAAAUUUAGAGAAAAUGGUUAAAUUUCUGGAAACUCACAACCUACUGAGAUUGAACCAGGAAGAAAGUGAAAACUUGAACAGACCAAUAACAAGCUCAGGAAUGGAAUCAGUAAUUAAAAAACAAACAAACAAAAACCUACCACCUAAAAAGAGGCCUGGAUGAGAUGGAGUCAUAGCUGAAUUCUACCAGACAUUCAAAGAACUGAUAUCAAUCCUACUGAAACAAUUCUAAAAAAUCAAGGAGAAAGAGCUUUUCCCUAACUCUCUAUACAAAGCUAGCAUCAUCUUGAUAUCAAAAUUUGGCAGAGACACAAUGAAGAAAGAAAACUUCAGGCCAAUAUCGCUUAUGAACAUAGAUACAAAAAUCCUCAACAAAAUACUAGCCAACUGAAUCCAAAAGCAAGCACAACAAAAAUGUUCCUUCACCACCAUCAGGUACUGUUUAUUCCUGGAAUGGGAGGUUGAUUCCACAUAUGCAAAUUAAUAAAUGUGAUUCACCACAUGAACAGAAUUUUUAAAGACCAUAUGAUCAUCUCAAUAGAUGCAGAAAACAUCUUCCAUGAAAUACAAUACCCCUUCAUGAUAAAAACCCUUAACAGACAAGGCACUGAAGGAACACACCUCAAAAUGAUAAGAGCUUUCUAUGAAUGACAAACAUAGAGCCAACAUCAUUCUAAAUAGGCAAAAGUUGAAAGCAUUCCUCCUGAGAACUGGAAUAAGACAAGGAUGCCCAUUCUGACCAUUUCUGGUACUAGAAGUCUGAGCCAGAGCAAUUAUGGAAGAGAAAGAACUGAAAGACAUCCAAAUAGGAAAACAAGAUGCCAAACUAUCUCUCCUUGCUGAUGACAUGAGUUACGUAGAAUACCCUAAAGACUCCACCAAAAGGCUCCUGGAACUGAUGAACAAAUUCAGUAAAGUUUCAGGAUACAAAAUGAGUAGCAUUUCUCUACAUCGUUAAUGUUCUAGCUGAGAACCAAAUUCAGAACACAAUCCCAUUUACAAUAGCCACAAAAAAGUGAAAUAUCUAGGAAUUCAUCUAAUCAAGGAGGAGAAAGAUCUCUACAAGGAGAACUAUAAAACACUGCCAAGAGAAAUCAGAUGACAAAUAAAGGGGAAAAAAAUUCCCAUGCUUACGGAUGGGAAGACUCAGUACUGUUAAAAUGACUGUACUUCCCAAAGCAAUUUACGGAUUCAAUGCUAUCCCUAUCAAAAUAGCAGUAUCAUUUUUCACAGAAUUAGAAAAAUGUAUUCUAAACUUCAUUUAGAACCAAACAAGAGCCCAAAUAGUAAAAGCAAUCCUAGGCAAAAAGAACAAAACCAAACACAUCACAUUACCCAACUUCAAACUAUACUGGAAGGCUACUGUAACCAACAUGUUACUGGUACAAAAACAGACAAACAGACCAAUGGAACAGAAUAGAGAGCUCAGAAAUAAACCUGCACACCUACAACCUCUGACUUUUGAAAAACUGGCAAAAAUAAGCAAUGAGAAAACAACUCUGUAUUCAAUACACGGUGCUGAGAUAACUGGCUAGCCAUAUGCAGAAGAAACUGGACCCCUACCUCUCACUAUAUUUAAAAAUACUGGACCCCCCACCUCUCACUAUAUUUCAAAAAAACCAAGACACAUUAGAGAUUUAAAUGGAGGACCUCAAACUAUAAAAAUCCUAAGGGAAAACCUAGGAAAUACUCUUCUCAAUAUUGGCUUUGGAAAAUAAUAAUGGCUAAGUCCUGAACAGCAACUGUAACAAAAAAUUGAUGACUGGUACCUAAUUAAACUAAACAGUAAAAUAAAUGAUCAAUAAAGAGACAACUCACAGAAUGGGAGAAAAUAUUAGGAAAUUAUGUAUCCAACAAAGGUCUAAUGUCCAGAAUCUGUAAGGAAAUGUAAAAGUUUAAAAAGCAAAAAUCAAGUAACUCCAUUUGUAAAAAUGGGCAAAGGGGCUGGGCACAGUGGCUCACACCUGUAAUCUCAGCACUUUAGGAGGCCAAGGUGAGAACAUCACUUGAGGCCAGGAGUUCAACACCAGCCUGGCCAAUAUGUUAAAGCCCCAUCUCUACUAAAAAUACAAAAAUUAACUGGGUAGCAUGUUGCCUGUAAUCCCAGCUACUCAGGAGGCUGAGGCAUGAGAAUUGCUUGAACCUGGGAUGUGGAGGUUUCAGUGAGCCAAGAUCAUGCUACAGCACUCCCACUUGGGUGACAGAGCGAGACCCUUUCUCAAAAAAAUUUAAAAACAUGGGGGAAGCAAAGGACAGAAAAAGACACUUCUCAACAGAAGAUAUCAAAGCAGCUGACAAACAUGAAAAAAUGCUCAACAUCACUAUUCACCAGAGAAA